RNAcentral lists this ribosomal RNA (492 nucleotides) under uncultured bacterium. RNAcentral's name for it is "partial 16S ribosomal RNA". It matches the Rfam family "Bacterial small subunit ribosomal RNA", at positions 29 to 507 of the family's 1533-position model. The record is from RNAcentral.
AGUGAACGCCGGCGGUAGGCCUAACACAUGCAAGUCGAACGGCAGCACAGUAAGAGCUUGCUCUUACGGGUGGCGAGUGGCGGACGGGUGAGGAAUACAUCGGAAUCUACUUUUUCGUGGGGGAUAACGUAGGGAAACUUACGCUAAUACCGCAUACGACCUACGGGUGAAAGCAGCGGUACUUCGGACCUUGCGCGAUUGAUUGAGCCGAUGUCGGAUUAGCUAGUUGGCGGGGUCAAGGCCCACCAAGGCGACGAUCCGUAGCUGGUCUGUGAGGAUGAUCAGCCACACUGGAACUGAGGCACGUUCCCGACUCUGACGGGAGGCAGCAGUGGGCAAGAUUGGACAAUGGGCGCAAGCCUGAUCCAGCCAUACCGCGUGAGUGUAGAAGGCCUUGGGGUUGUAAAGCCCUUUGGUUGGGAAAGAAAAGCAGCAGGUUAAUACCCCGCUGUUCUGACGGUACCCAAAGAAUAAGCACCGGCUAACUUCGUG